GUUAUAGUAGCUUAAAAAAAGCACUGGUCUUGUAAACCAGAGAUUGAGGGAUAAACCCCUCCUAAAACA
Molecule: transfer RNA, 69 nt
Filed under: Hydrolagus lemures (blackfin ghostshark)
Lineage: Eukaryota; Metazoa; Chordata; Chondrichthyes; Chimaeriformes; Chimaeridae
Description: tRNA-Thr
Rfam family: tRNA
About the family: Transfer RNA (tRNA) molecules are approximately 80 nucleotides in length. Their secondary structure includes four short double-helical elements and three loops (D, anti-codon, and T loops).
Source: RNAcentral